RNAcentral lists this transfer RNA (72 nucleotides) under Ovis aries (sheep). It matches the Rfam family "tRNA". Rfam says of the family: Transfer RNA (tRNA) molecules are approximately 80 nucleotides in length. Their secondary structure includes four short double-helical elements and three loops (D, anti-codon, and T loops). Further hydrogen bonds mediate the characteristic L-shaped molecular structure. tRNAs have two regions of fundamental functional importance: the anti-codon, which is responsible for specific mRNA codon recognition, and the 3' end, to which the tRNAs corresponding amino acid is attached (by aminoacyl-tRNA synthetases). tRNAs cope with the degeneracy of the genetic code in two manners: having more than one tRNA (with a specific anti-codon) for a particular amino acid; and 'wobble' base-pairing, i.e. permitting non-standard base-pairing at the 3rd anti-codon position. The record is from Rfam by way of RNAcentral. Lineage: Eukaryota; Metazoa; Chordata; Mammalia; Artiodactyla; Bovidae.
UCCCGGGUGGCUCAGAGGUUAAAGCGUCUGCCUGCAAUGCGGGAGACCCAGGUUCAAUCCCUGGGUUAGGAA